UAGGGAAUCUUCCACAAUGGACGCAGGUCUGAUGGAGCAACGCCGCGUGAGUGAAGAAGGUCUUCGGAUCGUAAAACUCUGUUGUUAGAGAAGAACACGAGUGAGAGUAACUGUUCAUUCGAUGACGGUAUCUAACCAGCAAGUCACGGCUAACUACGUGCUAG
Molecule: ribosomal RNA, 164 nt
Filed under: uncultured bacterium
Lineage: Bacteria
Description: partial 16S rRNA
Rfam family: Bacterial small subunit ribosomal RNA
Source: RNAcentral